UACAGAGAGUGCAAACGUUGUUCGGAAUUACUGGGCGUAAAGCGUAUGCAGGCGGAUCGUUAAGUCGGGGGUGAAAUCCCGAGGCUCAACCUCGGAACUGCCUUCGAUACUGGCGAUCUUCGAGUCCGGGAGAGGUGAGUGGAACUCCGAGUGUAGAGGUGAAAUUCGUAGAUAUUCGGAAGAACACCAGUGGCGAAGGCGGCUCACUGGCCCGGUACUGACGCUGAGAUACGAAAGCGUGGGGAGCAAACAGG
RNAcentral lists this ribosomal RNA (254 nucleotides) under uncultured bacterium. Its description in RNAcentral is "partial 16S ribosomal RNA". It matches the Rfam family "Bacterial small subunit ribosomal RNA", at positions 524 to 776 of the family's 1533-position model. The record is from RNAcentral.